This 301-nucleotide ribosomal RNA is filed under the name uncultured bacterium. Its description in RNAcentral is "partial 16S ribosomal RNA". It matches the Rfam family "Bacterial small subunit ribosomal RNA", at positions 509 to 809 of the family's 1533-position model. The record is from RNAcentral.
CAGCAGCCGCGGGAAUACAGAGGAUGCAAGCGUUAUCCGGAAUGAUUGGGCGUAAAGCGUGCGCAGGCGGGUAUAUAAGUCAGAUGUGAAAUCCCCGGGCUCAACCUGGGAACUGCAUUUGAGACUGUAUGGCUAGAGUGUGUCAGAGGGGGGUAGAAUUCCACGUGUAGCGGUGAAAUGCGUAGAUAUGCGGAGGAACACCGAUGGCGAAGGCAGCCCCCUGGGCCAACACUGACGCUCAUGCACGAAAGCGUGGGGAGCAAACAGGAUUAGAUACCCCUGUAGUCCCUGUCUCUUAUAA